RNAcentral lists this long non-coding RNA (2279 nucleotides) under Nicotiana benthamiana. RNAcentral describes it as "long non-coding RNA (NBEN_LNC019742)". The record is from RNAcentral. Lineage: Eukaryota; Viridiplantae; Streptophyta; Magnoliopsida; Solanales; Solanaceae.
AUUAUGAAAAGCAUCAUGGACAUAAGGAGAUAGUUUUGAUUGCUUAGCUUUGAUAAAGGACAUGAUGAGUAAAUAAAGCUAGGCAAAAAUAACUGAUUUAAGUGUAGCAAGGGUAUUGUAAUUGAAUUAAUGCAACUCGGUUGUACGAAUUAGGGCCAAUUUGAGCCUUCAUCACAAUAGACUGGGUCUGGUUGCGUGGGCCUCACCAAAUUUCAAGCGCAACUCUUCUUAUGGGGUCGAACCUGGAGACUGAAAGGACCAAGCAUGCCAGGCUCACAACAAGCCUUAAACAUGGCCAUUUAUUAGAAUUGGGCUCCAAAUGAAGCCCAAAUGACAAAGGAGAGGAGUCACUUUCUCAGAGGCUCACAAGAUAAGCAGGAGUAAUUCAAUUAUACAAAAGUUUCAACCAAUUUAAGAAAACACAAUACGAAUAACAACUACUAAACUACUGAUUAAUUAUACUAAUCAAUGAACGGAAUUAUUACAAUCCCGACUUAAACUCAUAAAAAUGGCUUCCAAAUCCUAAACUAAAUGAAUUAAAACAGCAUACAAAUGAUUUUCUCCCUAUUUCUUCUUCAGAUUUUUCAGAUGCAAAUACGCAAUAGUCAGGAAAUGGAGAUAUGAGAUGGACGUUCCUUUUAGCUUCAUUUAAACCCGAAAACAUCAACUCCAAUUCUGUUUCUAGCUAAAUGAACCAUUGUGUUUCAGCAUGUUUUAUAUUCUAUAUCACAACAGAAACAACAUUAGCAUACUUUGGUAUGAUAGAUGAUUAUUAUCAGUUGCCACUAAAUCAAUUUGUGAGUAGUUUCCAUCUAAAUUUCAGUUAAAUAAACAAAACAAACAAUAAACUGAUGCUAACAGAGGAGCGUAGAUAAACAGAUUUAGCAAACAAAUAAAGUCAUGAAAACAAUCGAACACAUUGCAACAAUGAUUCAGAUCUCAUUACAAACCAACAGAAACUCAAAACAACAACACAUGGUCCAUUGACACUGAUCAAUGCAAAUUUACAUGUUCAUUACUUGAGAGAUUGACUGGGAGAGAGAUUCAAACAAUUUCAACCAUUAAACAUGCUAGAUCUAUAUAAUUGGGCAGUAAACAGAUUUAAUUUCACUCAUGAUUUCAAUUUAAAGCUACAAAGGUGAUUGAACAUACCGACACAGCAAUAAACAAGUCUUAAAAUGGCCAAAUAAAGGUUGAGAACAACUACAACUAAAGCUCUGCUACUAGUUGACAGUGAACAACAACCAACAACCAGUUCAAAGCUAGAUCCACUUCAAAACCUAGAAAUGCAAGAGAGAAUAUAACAAAUCGAAACAAGCACAACUUAUAAAAUGUUUUGAGUGUAAAGCUAAGCUAGAACUCUAUUAUUUUUUCAUGCUUUUCUUCAGAACUUUGGUUUUCUUUUCAUAUCUCCAGUUUUUGAAUUUCAGCUGCAGUUGUGUGAGUACUGUAAAGAAAGAUGAAUGUAUGAGAAAAAAGAUCAUUGAGAGUCUGUGGGUAUUUUGUGGGGUAUAUGAGAGUGAAAUGGGUGAGAAUAAUCAAUAAAUGCGUGUCUAAUCAUGAGGGAAUGUACUGCUCUUAUAGCAGAAUGCCAGCUGCAUUUUCUGUUAUUUAUCUUUCUAUUGAGUCCCUUUUAUUUUCUGUAUUUUACUCCCCAAGUCCUUUAUUGACCUAAUUUUACUGUUUUAUUGUUUUCCGGCCCUUACUGAUCUCUUCUAGAAGAUUCCAGAUCAGUCACAGCAAAUAUUCCCUCUGGCCAAUUUCCAAAUUGACCUUUUAGACCCCUGUUUUUUUACAUUUCUUACCCUAAACAGGCUUAUGCCUCAUGCCUCAAUCAAACUAAGAUCACAAUCAGUAUCAAAUCAAAUAAAACGACUUCAGACUAACUAAUAACAAGCAAAACUGACUACUCGAAUGAUUAUUGAAUUAAAAGUGUAAUUACCUAACAAAUUAACAUACAACUGAAAUUAGCAAAACUUAGAGAGCAAUAAUGAAAAUGAACUAACUAGCUAAUAACCUAAUCGGAUGACAGACAACCGACUAAUCAUGCAUCCGAUUCAAAGAAAAGCAAGUGAAAUUAAACAAAAAAACUCACCAAAUUCCGAUGAACCAAAGGCCUAGGAUUUGAUUCAAUCAACUGGCAAUGGACCGAUCGCAAUUGAAUGAACUCCGGCAAGUGAAACAUAAUGACACGAGCACUGACCAUAAUUUCCCAUUCAGGUCAGUGCUACAAGUGACUAUGUUAAUCACAAGACGGAAAAAAUAGACACAAGCAAGGU